RNAcentral lists this ribosomal RNA (254 nucleotides) under uncultured bacterium. Its description in RNAcentral is "partial 16S ribosomal RNA". It matches the Rfam family "Bacterial small subunit ribosomal RNA", at positions 524 to 776 of the family's 1533-position model. The record is from RNAcentral.
UACAGAGGGUGCAAGCGUUGUUCGGAAUCAUUGGGCGUAAAGGGCAGGUAGGUGGUUUAGAAAGUCUACUGUGAAAUCCCCGGGCUUAACCUGGGAACUGCGGUGGAAACUACUUAAACUAGAGUGCUAGAGGGGUUCGUGGAAUACUCGGUGUAGCGGUGAAAUGCGUAGAUAUCGAGUGGAAUAUCAGAGGCGAAGGCGACGAACUGGAUAGUAACUGACACUCAACUGCGAAAGCGUGGGGAGCAAACAGG